This 2434-nucleotide long non-coding RNA is filed under the name Olea europaea subsp. europaea. Lineage: Eukaryota; Viridiplantae; Streptophyta; Magnoliopsida; Lamiales; Oleaceae. The record is from RNAcentral.
CCCAUCCUCACAACCCCUCAAUUUCUAAACCUAACCCCAAGAACUCAAACGUUAACCCAUACUGCUUCCCCCUUUCAUUUUCUUCUUCGCAAAAAUUACUUCUGGCAAUUUUUUCAGCCCACGAUUUUCUUCUUCACAAAAUCAUUUUCGGCAAUUUUUCCCAUUUUUGGAAGGAAGUUUAGAUGAACUUAGACCGUAAAUCUGUAAUUAGAACAUUGAUUUUCUUCUGGACAAUUUCUUCUUCCACGCAACUCUCGUCCUUAAAGUUUCAGAUUUAAUUUCCUGUCAGUGAUGCCGGUAAUGAAGUAUAACUAUAAGUCUAGUACAUUCCCUGUAUUUUGCAAUAUCUCUCGAAUUUUACUAGAAGUGACUAUUUCUCAUAUUUUGCAAUAUUUUUGUAACAUAUUUUGCAAUACUCAUGGAUUACUUGUUGAUUUGUGCUAAAAAUAUGUUUUUGAUAGACAUUUUCUUUAAUCAUUAAUUUUGAGGCGGAGUACUUUUUGCUAUUAGGGUUGUAGAAAUGAAACAAUAAGCUUGGUUUUAAUUGCACUUGCUGCAGUAGAAAGUUUGGAUUUGAGAUUCCAUUUACAUGUUGUAGGUGUUAUUUAUUUUUAUUAAUUAUUGAAAGAGUUUGGUUAUCCUAUUUUGGUGAUGCUUUGUUAAUGCUAUAGAGACUUCCCAUUAUUUGUUAUAGAAUUCAUAGGUCAUGAUAAACCGUCAAUCUCUAUAGUUAUGAAAUCCAUCCAUCAAGAUUAACUAUCAUUUUUUUACAGUUAAAAUUAUAAAAUUAUCGAUAUUACUUACUUUUUCUUGACAAUUUUGUUCAUAUGCCUCGUUUGAUUCAACUGCUCUUCUUCAUGUAUUAGAUAUUAAAUGUACGAUAUAUCAUCAUCUUAUUUCUUCACGUUACCAUUUUUGCAGAUAAAUUUCAAAUUCCUUUUGUUGGAAAAUCAAUUGCACACAUACAUUCCUAUUGAUAUUUGUGAUGUACUUGCAUUCACAUUUUAUUAUUUAGUUUGGAUAACAUUGUACAUUUAUUGUUGAUUUGUACAUUUAUUGUUGAUUUCAUCUAGUAUCUAGUCCAUAUAUAUGUAUAUGCAUUUAUUCCAGCAAUUUAUUCCCAUUUCGUUAACUAUAUGAUUGAGUUAAUUUUAAAUUGUAAAUGACGUUUUCAGUGAGAUUUCAUGUUUCAAUGAAAAAUGUUUACUAGGCCAUCCCAAAAUGAGAUAAAUUGUGUUAGAUUUUCGUUGAAUUUGACAUAUACUGUUUUUGCAAGUAUAUUGAAAUCAAUACUGUUAGGGUUAAAUUUCAAUUUUCAAAUUGUAGUGACCAUUAUGUGUCUUCCUAUAUUUUUUACAAACAUCAUGUUAAUUGUGUGUCCGAUCAAUUAUUAUGUUCGAAGAAUUUGUCUAGUUUACUACUCACCAACUACGAAAUGUCGAGAAAAUCAUAGUACAUCUAUAGUGAAUUAUCAACAGAUGACUAAUUCUUGAUAGAUCAUUCAUGAGACUAAUCUAUCGAGAUGAAUUAUCGUUCUCGAUAGUUAGUUUCAAUUAUUCUUGAUAGAUGACUGAAUCUUGACAGGUUAAUUGAGUCAUCUGACAAUAUUAAUUGUUGUUAUCGACAAAUGACUACUUCUCGAUAGAUUAGUUUUGCAGUCAUCAAUCGACAUAUCCAACUUUGGUUCAUCUAAAUAUUAUAUAUGUGUUUUAAAUUAACAUGUAUGAAUUAUUAUAAUCUGACCUUUUUUACUUUCUUAUUGUACCUUAUUCUUGCAAAUGAAUUUUGAAUUCUAAGCUCCUGAAAAUGCAGGCUUGAGAGCCGACAUUUCUCAAAGGAGCAAUUUCAAGUGGACGAAAAUCAUAUUGGAGAAUUUUAACGAUCGACAAUGGGAAGAUUUCGGUAACUCAUGCCUUGGGUUCUUAGCCGAGUUACUUGACAUACAAUUCUCAGCCUAAUUACUUCAAUAACUAGUAUUCAGAUUGAUUAGAAUUGAUGAGGCAGAGGAGUUGUGGUCACUAUAUAGGGCACCGACAGGGUUCAAAUUACAAAAAUGUGGUCGUGAUGAGAUUAAAAUGUGGUCUUGCCCCAGAAGGCGAUGAGUUUACUAAAGUCAUGGAAAAAAAUAGAUUUAAGGACAAAUACUUUAAAUCCAUGGAAAAAAUUUCAUGUGCCCAACUGGAUAAGGCUUUUCUUUGAUUGUCGACGCCCUGACUGAUUAAUACAAGUUCGGCAUUGCUUUAAUUAUUGAAGGAAUAUUCAAUGCUUCAAAUAAUAAAUGUAGGAAUCGAUAUUGACACCUUGUCCAUUGUCAACAACUUGGACAUAUUUUUUGAUUACCCUUGGGUAAAGUGGGGUACAAUCGUCUGUUGAGAGGAUUUACGGAUGAUUGAGUAAGGAAAUUUCAUGAGGCAACGCAAAGAAUGAGAAGGAA